Molecule: long non-coding RNA, 344 nt
Filed under: Medicago truncatula (barrel medic)
Lineage: Eukaryota; Viridiplantae; Streptophyta; Magnoliopsida; Fabales; Fabaceae
Description: lncRNA gene16178
Source: RNAcentral
UUGAGUGAAUCCGGUUCGGAUUUGUUGAUUUUGUGGUGGUUGGGGCUGUUUUGGAGCAGAUCCGGUUUGGAUCUGUUGAUUUUGGUGAUGAAGUGUUCUUGGUGUUCUUCCUCUUUUUCUCAGCUUUUUUCUGUUUUGAUUCUGUUAUGGAUGAGAGAGAGAAAAAGAUUCUGUUUUGGGAGUGAUUGUGAUUGAUUCUGAUUUUUCUGACUUCUUGUGAUGGAUCUGACACAUUUACUAUUUAUAGCCUGCCAUGUGUAUUGGAGACCCAAUGGAAAAUUGACACCUGGACUGUUUUGGACUUAAGGACUAAUCUGCAAAAAAGUUAAUAUGAGGACUAAUGU